UACGGGGGGGGCAAGCGUUAAUCGGAAUUACUGGGCGUAAAGCGUACGCAGGCGGCUAUGCAAGACAGGUGUGAAAUCCCCGGGCCUAACCUGGGAACUGCAUUUGUGACUGCAUGGCUAGAGUUUGUCAGAGGGAGGUGGAAUUCCACGUGUAGCAGUGAAAUGCGUAGAUAUGUGGAGGAACACCGAUGGCGAAGGCAGCCCCCUGGGAUGUGACUGACGCUCAUGUACGAAAGCGUGGGGAGCAAACAGG
RNAcentral lists this ribosomal RNA (253 nucleotides) under uncultured bacterium. Its description in RNAcentral is "partial 16S ribosomal RNA". It matches the Rfam family "Bacterial small subunit ribosomal RNA", at positions 524 to 776 of the family's 1533-position model. The record is from RNAcentral.